Xiphophorus hellerii (green swordtail) is the source of this 150-nucleotide long non-coding RNA. RefSeq lists it as uncharacterized. The record is from RefSeq and is a predicted model, not a curated record. Lineage: Eukaryota; Metazoa; Chordata; Actinopteri; Cyprinodontiformes; Poeciliidae. The transcript is spliced from 2 exons.
AGAACAUUUUUCUUUAUAUUUUUAAAAUGAUAGCGGCACAAACGAAAAUUUUUGCUGCACAAACCAGCACAAACGUAGCAGAGUUAAUUGACACCCAUUUCGUCUGAUUUGAGGAAGGUGGGGGGGCUGGUUGACCUUUGAUGACCUCUA